GUCAAUCUCCCCUUAGGGUCAAGAUAACCCCGGGAAACUGGGGAUAAUCUCGAAUAGGUGGGGAUUCUGGAAAGUUCCUCGCUGAAAUGUUUUGCGCCUAAGGAUGAGACUGCGGCCUAUUAGGUUGUUGGUGAGGUAAAGGCUCACCAAGCCACAGAUGGGUACGGGCCCUGAGAGGGGGAGCCCGGAGAUGGGGACUGAGACAAGGCCCCAGGCCCUACGGGGCGCAGCAGGUGCGAAAAUUCUGCAAUGCGUGCAAGCGCGACAGAGUGACUCCCAGUGCCGAUGGUCUAGCGACCGUCGGCUUUUCUGGAAUGUAAAAGUUUCAGGUAAUAAGGGCCGGGUAAGACUGGUGCCAGCCGCCGCGGUAACACCAGCGGCUCAAGUGGUAGCCGAUUUUAUUGGGCCUAAAGCGUCCGUAGCCGGACUAGCAAGUCUUUUGUGAAAUCGGACGGCUUAAUCGUUCGGCUUGCAGGGGAAACUGCCAGUCUUGGGAUCGGUAGGCGCCAAGGGUACUCCAGGGGUAGCGGUGAAAUGCUAUAAUCCCUGGGGGACCGCCAGUGGCGAAAGCGCUUGGCGAGGCCGAAUCCGACGGUGAGGGACGAAGGCCAGGGGCGCGAACCGGAUUAGAUACCCGGGUAGUCCUGGCUGUAAAGGAUGUGGACUAGGUGCUUGGUGUUCCUCGAGAACACUAGUGCCGAAGGGAAGCCGUUAAGUCCACCGCCUGGGAAGUACGGUCGCAAGGCUGAAACUUAAAGAAAUUGGCGGGGG
RNAcentral lists this ribosomal RNA (771 nucleotides) under uncultured candidate division MSBL1 archaeon. RNAcentral's name for it is "bacterial SSU rRNA". It matches the Rfam family "Archaeal small subunit ribosomal RNA", at positions 103 to 874 of the family's 1478-position model. The record is from RNAcentral. Lineage: Archaea; Methanobacteriati; Methanobacteriota.